CAGUCAGAUUUUGUGCUGCAAAACAUCCAUGACAGCUGUUGUCCAUGCUGGCAAAUAAUUAUGGUCACUCAACCACUUGAAUUAUAUACAUAAUUUUAAUAGCCCAGCCAUUCAAAAACCAUGGAUCUACCAUGUGCAUAGUAAAGCGAUCACUGACAGUCAUUUGGGGUGGGAAUUAAUGCAAACACGGAUAUCACAUACCAGUCAUGUCCAAAGUGAAUGUUAACACAGGACAAAAAAUCGAAUAUAGUCAAAAGAUCGGAUCAGUGCAUUAAGAAUUGCACUGUAAACACAGCCAUAUAGAAGAAAUUACUAAUCCAGGGAUCUCCUGGAGAGCAACCGUCCUGCAGAUUUCCGCUCCAACCCCAAUUAAACACCUGAACCAGCUAAUCAAGGUGAUCAGGGCUACUUGAUAAUUACAGAUAGGUGUGUUGGAACUGAAGUAUGCAGGAUAGUAGCUCUCCAGAAGCAGGGACCAGAGCAGAAAUCCCGCUGAGGAGAUUCGCUCCUAGCUGACAGAGGGCGAGGAGGCCACGUGUCAGGACCCAGCACCGCUUUUGUAUAAAUUGAAUUCACCAUUUAGGUUUAAACUUUAGUUUUUGUUCUUUUAAUACUGUU
Sinocyclocheilus anshuiensis is the source of this 618-nucleotide long non-coding RNA. RefSeq lists it as uncharacterized. The transcript has 2 exons. The record is from RefSeq and is a predicted model, not a curated record. NCBI's taxonomy places the organism in Eukaryota, Metazoa, Chordata, Actinopteri, Cypriniformes, Cyprinidae.